Molecule: ribosomal RNA, 497 nt
Filed under: uncultured bacterium
Lineage: Bacteria
Description: partial 16S ribosomal RNA
Rfam family: Bacterial small subunit ribosomal RNA
Source: RNAcentral
GAUGAACGCUGGCGGCGUGCCUAAUACAUGCAAGUCGAGCGAACGGACGAGAAGCUUGCUUCUCUGAUGUUAGCGGCGGACGGGUGAGUAACACGUGGAUAACCUACCUAUAAGACUGGGAUAACUUCGGGAAACCGUAGCUAAUACCGGAUAAUAUUUUGAACCGCAUGGUUCAAAAGUGAAAGACGGUCUUGCUGUCACUUAUAGAUGGUUCCGCGCUGCAUUAGCUAGUUGGUAAGGUAACGGCUUACCAAGGCAACGAUGCAUAGCCGACCUGAGAGGGUGAUCGGCCACACUGGAACUGAGACACGGUCCAGACUCCUACGGGAGGCAGCAGUAGGGAAUCUUCCGCAAUGGGCGAAAGCCUGACGGAGCAACGCCGCGUGAGUGAUGAAGGUCUUCGGAUCGUAAAACUCUGUUAUUAGGGAAGAACAUAUGUGUAAGUAACUGUGCACAUCUUGACGGUACCUAAACAGAAAGCCACGGCUAACUACGUG